CUCUGUCUUUUUCGCUAGCUUGCGCCUUUGUGUGUGCGUGUGUGCUACGUAGCUGCACCUCAAUCUUCUUCUGGGUUUUGCUUGACUCAAGUAGGGGCGACUGCACGGCUGUACGCACACGCACACGAAUACCGCGAUGUCUCGCAAUCCAUCGAACUCUGACGCUGCGCAUGCAUUCUGGAGCACACAGCCCGUACCGCAGACGGAAGAUGAGACGGAGAAAAUCGUGUUCGCCGGUCCGAUGGACGAGCCAAAAACGGUAGCCGAUAUUCCUGAGGAACCAUACCCGAUCGCCAGCACAUUUGAGUGGUGGACGCCAAACAUGGAGGCGGCCGAUGACAUUCACGCAAUUUACGAGCUUCUCCGCGAUAACUACGUCGAGGACGACGACAGCAUGUUUCGUUUCAACUACUCCGAGGAGUUUCUUCAGUGGGCACUAUGCCCACCGAGCUACAUCCCGGACUGGCACGUUGCCGUUCGCCGGAAGGCGGAUAAGAAGCUGCUGGCCUUCAUUGCCGGCGUUCCCGUGACGUUGCGCAUGGGCACCCCCAAGUACAUGAAAGUGAAAGCACAGGAAAAGGGCCAAGAGGAGGAGGCGGCCAAGUAUGAUGCACCCCGUCACAUCUGCGAAAUCAACUUUCUCUGUGUCCACAAGCAACUGCGGGAGAAGCGGCUUGCCCCUAUUUUGAUCAAAGAGGUGACGCGCCGCGUGAACCGCACCAACGUGUGGCAGGCGGUGUACACAGCUGGUGUGCUGCUACCCACUCCGUAUGCAUCAGGGCAGUACUUCCACCGCAGCCUGAACCCCGAGAAGCUUGUGGAGAUCCGCUUCAGCGGCAUUCCUGCACAGUACCAGAAGUUUCAGAACCCAAUGGCGAUGCUGAAGCGCAACUACCAGCUGCCGAACGCGCCAAAGAACUCUGGUCUUCGUGAAAUGAAGCCAUCUGACGUUCCGCAGGUACGGCGAAUUCUCAUGAACUACCUGGACAACUUCGAUGUAGGUCCCGUCUUUAGCGAUGCCGAGAUCAGCCACUACCUCCUUCCGCGCGACGGUGUGGUCUUCACCUACGUGGUGGAAAACGAUAAGAAGGUGACGGACUUCUUUUCCUUCUAUCGAAUUCCAUCGACCGUGAUUGGGAACAGCAAUUAUAACAUUCUGAACGCAGCUUACGUUCACUACUAUGCGGCAACGAGUAUGCCUUUGCAUCAACUCAUUCUCGACCUUUUGAUCGUGGCGCACUCACGCGGCUUCGACGUGUGCAAUAUGGUAGAGAUCCUCGACAACCGGUCGUUCGUUGAGCAGCUCAAGUUUGGCGCCGGCGACGGUCAUCUUCGCUAUUACUUCUACAACUGGGCGUAUCCAAAGAUCAAGCCUUCUCGGGUUGCCUUGGUGAUGUUGUAGUCUACGCACCGCCCCACCUUUCCGUCUUUCACCCUCCUUCACGUUCAUACUCCCCCUUGUAAGUGCGAGCGGAGGGGGGGGAGGAGCAGAUCGGGAGCGGAGAGAGAAUAAAGUUGGCGUAGAGAGUGUAAGGGGCCAGUUUUCGUUGUGGUUAAACGUGUCAAAAGGAGGUUCGCGCAUUCAGCAACGAGUACAUCGACCACUCCUCUUUAGAAGACUCAUCGAUCAGGCUCCACCAGCUGCACAUGCAGCCAUGGCGGCACCGACUUUCCAUUAGCGCGCCGCCUUUUCUCUUCGUGCGAAACGUGAGGACAGCCGGGGGAGACUGGGAUGCGGAAGAAAACAUGGUGGACCAGGCGCCGCUCUGCCUUUCUAUCUGCUUUUCUUCGGUCUUCGUUGACUUUGAGCCCCACGCGGACUGCGUAUCCCGCAACUGGUCACGUCUUGGGUGGGGGGACAAAGAUGGGC
Molecule: unclassified non-coding RNA, 1870 nt
Filed under: Leishmania donovani
Lineage: Eukaryota; Euglenozoa; Kinetoplastea; Trypanosomatida; Trypanosomatidae
Description: gene:LdHU3.32.0120(CDS-product:N-myristoyl_transf erase_putative)
Source: RNAcentral